AAAGCAGGCUGCAAUUACAGUGCUUCAUUCUGUGGGAGGACUGCCAUUAACCUGCUGAGAGUAAAUGCUGCUGUGAAUUUACUGGCUUCACCUGCUUGUGGUGAUGGGCAUUCUUUGUGGCAGCUACAAAA
This is a small nucleolar RNA of Acipenser ruthenus (sterlet), 131 nucleotides long. RefSeq annotates it as small nucleolar RNA SNORA69. The record is from RefSeq and is a predicted model, not a curated record. The transcript has a single exon. NCBI's taxonomy places the organism in Eukaryota, Metazoa, Chordata, Actinopteri, Acipenseriformes, Acipenseridae.